RNAcentral lists this ribosomal RNA (427 nucleotides) under uncultured bacterium. RNAcentral's name for it is "bacterial SSU rRNA". It matches the Rfam family "Bacterial small subunit ribosomal RNA", at positions 355 to 775 of the family's 1533-position model. The record is from RNAcentral.
UAGGGAAUCUUCCACAAUGGACGAAAGUCUGAUGGAGCAACGCCGCGUGAGUGAUGAAGGUCUUCGGAUUGUAAAGCUCUGUUGCCAGGGAAGAAUGCUUAGGAGAGUAACUGCUCCUAAGGUGACGGUACCUGAGAAGAAAGCCCCGGCUAACUACGUGCCAGCAGCCGCGGUAAUACGUAGGGGGCAAGCGUUGUCCGGAAUUAUUGGGCGUAAAGCGCGCGCAGGCGGUUCAUUAAGUCUGGUGUUUAAGGCUGUGGCUCAACCACAGUUCGCACUGGAAACUGGUGAACUUGAGUGUAGGAGAGGAAAGUGGAAUUCCACGUGUAGCGGUGAAAUGCGUAGAGAUGUGGAGGAACACCAGUGGCGAAGGCGACUUUCUGGCCUAUAACUGACGCUGAGGCGCGAAAGCGUGGGGAGCAAACAG